UACGUAGGAGGCAAGCGUUAUCCGGAGUUACUGGGCGUAAAGGGCGUGCAGGUGGUUCAAUAAGUUGGUUAUGAAAGCUCCUGGCUAAACUGGGAGAGGUUGACCAAGACUGUUGAACUUGAGUGGAUGAGAGGUAAACGGAAUUCCGCGUGUAGUGGUGAAAUGCGUAGAGAUGCGGAGGAACACCAGUGGCGAAGGCGGUUUACUGGCAUCCAACUGACACUGAGACGCGAAAGCAUGGGUAGCGAACGGG
RNAcentral lists this ribosomal RNA (253 nucleotides) under uncultured bacterium. RNAcentral describes it as "partial 16S ribosomal RNA". It matches the Rfam family "Bacterial small subunit ribosomal RNA", at positions 524 to 776 of the family's 1533-position model. The record is from RNAcentral.